This 462-nucleotide ribosomal RNA is filed under the name uncultured Streptococcus sp. RNAcentral's name for it is "bacterial SSU rRNA". It matches the Rfam family "Bacterial small subunit ribosomal RNA", at positions 920 to 1382 of the family's 1533-position model. Lineage: Bacteria; Bacillati; Bacillota; Bacilli; Lactobacillales; Streptococcaceae. The record is from RNAcentral.
CCCGCACAAGCGGUGGAGCAUGUGGUUAAUUCGACGCAACGCGAAGAACCUUACCAGGGCUUGACAUCUACAGAAUCCUGAGGAAACUCAGGAGUGCCCUUCGGGGAACUGUAAGACAGGUGGUGCAUGGUUGUCGUCAGCUCGUGUCGUGAGAUGUUGGGUUAAGUCCCGCAACGAGCGCAACCCCUAUUGUUAGUUGCCAUCAUUCAGUUGGGCACUCUAGCGAGACUGCCGGUAAUAAACCGGAGGAAGGUGGGGAUGACGUCAAAUCAUCAUGCCCCUUAUGACCUGGGCUACACACGUGCUACAAUGGUUGGUACAACGAGUUGCGAGUCGGUGACGGCGAGCUAAUCUCUUAAAGCCAAUCUCAGUUCGGAUUGUAGGCUGCAACUCGCCUACAUGAAGUCGGAAUCGCUAGUAAUCGCGGAUCAGCACGCCGCGGUGAAUACGUUCCCGGGCCUU